This 1166-nucleotide long non-coding RNA is filed under the name Struthio camelus australis. Its description in RNAcentral is "lncRNA (ENSSCUG00000002170.1)". Lineage: Eukaryota; Metazoa; Chordata; Aves; Struthioniformes; Struthionidae. The record is from RNAcentral.
ACUUAGGAGGUAUAAAUAAUUACAGAUUUUUGGGGGGUUUCCUCCUGCUUAGUGUGAUGUUCGCCAUUAAGCUGCUACCGAAACUCUGCUAACUAGGGAGAAUGAACACUAGGAUGUGUCUAAACACAUCCUAAUAUUGGGCAUUACAUCAGCGUUUCAGAGAAUUGACUUUUUUGGUCCCCUUCUCUGUCUGAAAGUUUAGAGACAGCCAUUAUGAAUUAUGCAUUGUCUUCAGAAACUAGAUCGAUCCCUACAGAAUGCAGCAGAUACAGGAAUUAAAGGACAUAAAAUGAAACUGACAGGCAGGAGGUUCAGAAUGAAGAAAAGACACUUUUUUGCGCAGUUGAUAGUUCAGUGUUGGAGUUGCUCACUGUGUGACAUUUCAGUUUGCGUGGGAUUGAAGCACAGUUAGAUUGUUGUGGUGUCCUUUUAUUUUUAGAUGUUGAUGGACAAAUUCACAGAACAUCUGGCAAAUCGCUGGAUACUGGAGGGCGUCUGAGGAAUGAGCACUUCACGCUAGAACUGGUUGUACGCUCUUUCUUAACAUCUGAUAUUGGCCACUACCAGGGGCUAGCUGGAGUUUUCAUAUGACGAAAUACAAAUAUAUUUUACGAAAACUGAGGUAAUACUGGCUAGGGGAAGUUCAACGUUUUGUGGCCCUGUCAAUAUGGGCCCAUGCAGAGAGAGAGAGAUGAAUAACAUAUUGGUCUGUGUUUUCAAAUACUGAUAUAUUUUCAAUAUACUAACGGAAACAAAUAGCAUACUAAUAAGCCUAUGAACAGAUAUUCAGAAAUUACUUUUGUUCUACCAGUGAAUUUCAGAGCUGUCUCAUCAGAGCUGUCGCCAUGGUUCCCUGGCAAUAAGGAAAGUGAGGACUUCCGGCUGCCACCCGCUUCUCCCACCGCUUCAGCCUCCCCGAGAAGGACUCCAGCAGCAGCACGGCUACUUCUGGGUGAACUCAGCGUAAACGAGGAGCUGGUCUCUCUUUCGGGCAGUGGAAUCACAGGAUGGCUGGUCUGGAAACACUAAUGUUGUUUACAAAACUUCUCUCUUAUCUCUGCUAGUCUCUGAGUCAACUAUACCUACGUGGCUCUGACUGGUUAAUUGAGCCCCAAACUAUUUCUGACUGUUUUAUUCCAAAUAAAAGAGGGAUCAGGUAUAAUGCA